UGGGGAAUAUUGCGCAAUGGGGGAAACCCUGACGCAGCGACGCCGCGUGUGGGAUGAAGGUCUUCGGAUUGUAAACCACUGUCGCGAGGGACGAAGCUCUGACGGUACCUCGAAAGGAAGCACCGGCUAACUCUGCGCCAGCAGCCGCGGUAAUACAGAGGGUGCAAGCGUUGUUCGGAAUCACUGGGCGUACAGGGAGCGUAGGCGGUUGGGUAAGCCCUCCGUGAAAUCUCCGGGCCUAACCCGGAAAGUGCGGAGGGGACUGCUCGGCUAGAGGAUGGGAGAGGAGCGCGGAAUUCCCGGUGUAGCGGUGAAAUGCGUAGAGAUCGGGAGGAAGGCCGGUGGCGAAGGCGGCGCUCUGGAACAUUUCUGACGCUGAGGCUCGAAAGCGUGGGGAGCAAACAGGAUUAGAUACCCCCGUAGUCCCUGAGCGGGCUGGCAAGGCGCAU
RNAcentral lists this ribosomal RNA (449 nucleotides) under uncultured bacterium. RNAcentral's name for it is "bacterial SSU rRNA". It matches the Rfam family "Bacterial small subunit ribosomal RNA", at positions 355 to 825 of the family's 1533-position model. The record is from RNAcentral.